This 413-nucleotide small RNA is filed under the name Pongo abelii (Sumatran orangutan). RNAcentral's name for it is "retained intron". Lineage: Eukaryota; Metazoa; Chordata; Mammalia; Primates; Hominidae. The record is from RNAcentral.
UGGCAAGAGAUCCCCUCUCGAGGAGACUCCGCAGAAACACCAGAGAUGAAAGUGGCACACAACAACCGAAGGCAGAGGAACAGGCUGAGGAUAAAGGUGUGUAUUCUGGGAGCACUCCUUUCUACGGAAAGACCUUCAGUGUUGCAAAAGGUGGCACUUACUAGUCUGCUUUUGCUGGAGAGACACUUUGGUUUGAGCUUCCUGACAGAAAUGAGAUUUGGACAGUUUGGUAUGAAAAACACUGAGUCCAGUAAAGAACUGUGACCACCCACUUGAGUCCGGGGAGGCGGGAUUGUCAUUUAGGUGGAAUAGUGUGGUGUGCAUCAGGGUGGGGAGGUACGGAGGAGAGAGUCGUGUGGAGUGAUUGGGAGUGUCUUUGGGAGUUGUGUGGGCAUUUCCCCAGAAAGCAUGUU